Molecule: unclassified non-coding RNA, 320 nt
Filed under: plant metagenome
Description: partial contains 5.8S ribosomal RNA, internal transcribed spacer 2, and large subunit ribosomal RNA
Rfam family: 5.8S ribosomal RNA (bases 1-105)
Source: RNAcentral
GAAACGCGAUAAGUAAUGUGAAUUGCAGAAUUCAGUGAAUCAUCGAAUCUUUGAACGCACAUUGCGCCCGCCAGUAUUCUGGCGGGCAUGCCUGUUCGAGCGUCAUUACAACCCUCAGGCCCCCGGGCCUGGCGUUGGGGAUCGGCGGAAGCCCCCUGCGGGCACAACGCCGUCCCCCAAAUACAGUGGCGGUCCCGCCGCAGCUUCCAUUGCGUAGUAGCUAACACCUCGCAACUGGAGAGCGGCGCGGCCACGCCGUAAAACACCCAACUUCUGAAUGUUGACCUCGAAUCAGGUAGGAAUACCCGCUGAACUUAAGC